AUUGAACGCUGGCGGAAUGCUUUACACAUGCAAGUCGAACGGCAGCAGACUUCGGUCUGGUGGCGAGUGGCGAACGGGUGAGUAACAUAUCGGAACGUAUCCAAUAAUGGGGGAUAACUAAUCGAAAGGUUGGCUAAUACCGCAUACGCCCUACGGGGGAAAGCAGGGGAUCUUCGGACCUUGCGUUAAUGGAGCGGCUGAUAUCUGAUUAGCUAGUUGGUGAGGUAAAGGCUCACCAAGGCGACGAUCAGUAGCUGGUCUGAGAGGACGACCAGCCACACUGGAACUGAGACACGGUCCAGACUCCUACGGGAGGCAGCAGUGGGGAAUUUUGGACAAUGGGCGCAAGCCUGAGCCAGCCAUUCCGCGUGAGUGAAGAAGGCCUUCGGGUUGUAAAGCUCUUUCGCAAGGGAAGAAAACUUACUUUCUAAUAAAGAGUGAGGUUGACGGUACCUUGAUAAGAAGCACCGGCUAACUACGUGCCAGCAGCCGCCGUAA
RNAcentral lists this ribosomal RNA (498 nucleotides) under uncultured bacterium. Its description in RNAcentral is "partial 16S ribosomal RNA". It matches the Rfam family "Bacterial small subunit ribosomal RNA", at positions 30 to 523 of the family's 1533-position model. The record is from RNAcentral.